RNAcentral lists this unclassified non-coding RNA (172 nucleotides) under soil metagenome. RNAcentral describes it as "partial internal transcribed spacer 1". The record is from RNAcentral.
UAAUCAAGUGUUUUUAUGGCACUUUCAAAAAUCCAUAUCCACCUUGUGUGCAAUGUCAUCUCUCUGGGGGCUGCCGGUUGUCAAAAGCCGUGUGGUCACCCUUGGGAUUUAUAUCUACUCAGAACUUUAGUGAUUUUGUCUGAAACAUAUUAUGAAUACUUAAUUCAAAAUA